AUAUGGACUAAUAACAGUGAUCUUACAACAUUAAAAUACAUAUUAUAUUGUCAUAAAUUGGUCCUCACGAAGACAUAUGUGUUCUUCAAUCAUCUUCGUUUGACGCCGACAGUGACUCCUUCAGGAUCUUCUGAAACGGAACACGUUAUGGUUUUUCGUGAUAAAUUUGAACGUCUACUACGAGUUCUUCAAUGCGUUGCGUCGGUGAGGCUGAGGGAUAUCGGGUAUAAAUAUGUCAGUAUUUCUCUUCAGGAAAGCAUCCUCUUCAUCUCUCUCUUAUAGUUUACUAAUUCACUGUUUGAUGGCUAACUCCGAUUUGAAGUCCGGCGAGUGUUCAUCCGCCGGAGAGUAAUAAGAAUUCUGUGAACGUUCUUCUGAGACAGGCAUUGCAUGUGUUUCUGCAGGUGAUUGCUAUGUUGAAUCCAGCACAAGUUCUCAAGCUUCUUAAUUCCCCUCUACCAAUACUACAAUCUAGGUGAGACUUUUGAAGAUGUAUUGUGGAUCUUGAAAUGGUAAUUUUUUUUACUGCAGGGGUGCGGUUUUAGCCUGUGUGAUUCCGCGGAUAAAGUGUCUGUUACUUACUCCCCAAGAGUCAUCCUUGCUCGCUUUGAACUCCAUGUAUCAGGUUAGGAGCUACAUAUUGCAUCUCUGUUAGUAAAACUGAAAGCUGGAAUAGAUAAAUGAUCGAUGUCUAUUUUAUUGGUUGUGUAUCAACCCUUCACACUGCCGUACAAGUUUCAAGCAGCUUAGACUUGCUUGUGGACAAUUUAGAUUAAGAAGAAGCAGGUCCUGUGAUCUAUGAGGACAAGGACACUGAUGAUGAAGAAGGAGAAGACCAAAUGAAGCAAUGGAAACAGAUGAAGAAGAUGCAGACGAAUCAGAGGAUGAAGCAGCUGAUUGUGUCAAUUAAUUUGAAGAUUUUGACAUGAGCGAUUGAAGACUUCCUGAAAACGGAACCGGGGUUUUGAUUUUGGAGGCUGUUUGGUUGGUUAGAUGUUUAAUGUCUCCGCACGGAAUCCCUAAUACGUAAUGGUUGUAUUUAUUUGUACUGAAAACAAGAGUUUUAUUUUUACACA
Molecule: long non-coding RNA, 1076 nt
Organism: Raphanus sativus (radish)
Lineage: Eukaryota; Viridiplantae; Streptophyta; Magnoliopsida; Brassicales; Brassicaceae
Exons: 2
Source: RefSeq, a predicted model, not a curated record